Long non-coding RNA from Schistocerca cancellata (South American locust), 1250 nucleotides. RefSeq lists it as uncharacterized. Lineage: Eukaryota; Metazoa; Arthropoda; Insecta; Orthoptera; Acrididae. The record is from RefSeq and is a predicted model, not a curated record. The transcript is spliced from 3 exons.
GGCUCCCUGGAGCUCGGUUGGAACAGCCUGGUUUAACUGUUACAUCCAUACAACGGCAUUCUCAAAAAUGACUCCUCAGCACGAAAACAUUGUAUUUCAUUGUGUGAAAUCAUCAACGCUGCAGAGCUCUUCAUAGAACUCUAUAGGCACUCUAAAGUGCAGAGAGGUUGUGGCUGUUUGUUCAUAACAAAGUAUGUCACUCCAGGUCUAUUUGUUUAAUGUUUCGAGGCACCGGCAGACGCUAUACCCAGACAGUUUUAUUGCAACGGAUCCCUGAUGAUGCAGAGGAGCAGCAACUGUUCACAGAGUUUGAAUUCACAUUGUCUGCACUGCCGCAGCACGCCUCAAUCGGCCCACCUGAUAUUUUGCUUCAGGAAUGCAGCCAUUCGAGUUUCCGGCGUCUGCAUUGCUGCUGCAGCAGCCCUACGUGAUUUAUCGUAUCAGUAGCAGGACAUACAAGAAAUUUUCUUCCCAGACUUUGAGUUUCCACUAUAACCAUCAUCAGCAGCGCUCAUCAGAUGGUUACAAGGGGUUACCUUAUAUAUUAAUGUGAUGCUAUUCUCUAUAAUAUACAAUCUAAACGGUAAGGGCAGUAAAUGUGUGGUUGUGGGAAACCUCUUUAAUGGCGAGUUCAGUACAGUGGUAGCGUUUGAAAAAUCAUCAAUUUAGUGGCAUGAAACUAGAGUUUUAAUCAUAUGAAUCGUACAAACUAUGUCACAAUUCUGCGAAGAUAACUGUACUGUACAACGCUGAAACGGCUCCAGUGUUACUGGGCUGCAAUGCAGUACGUUUUGAGAACCACCCAAGAACAAUUAAAACAUACAGCAAUGAGAAUACCGCACAGUGCCCUCACCAUCAGGAAUCAAUGUUUAGAAAAUUGAUGUAUGCUAGCUCGCCAUCCAGUGUACUGUGAAUGACUGUCUAAAUCAGUAUGAGCAAGUGUACGGAUUUCUUGAAAAUGUAUGCUACACAUUUACAAAGUUAACACAUCAGAACAUUUCAGAGAACAUUUUCGCAAGUAAUUUUGAUGUGUCUUGUGCUUCUGCACGCUGCAUCUAUGAUGCAACAGCAGUACUGACGUUGCUAAAGAGAUACAUGUAUAUUUGUACUUAUCUGCACACCUUACAAUGUUAGCUCAAAUUAAGAACGAAAAUAAAUGAUUGUUUACCUCUCAAAACUGUUUCUUUUCAACAAGAAUGAAAGGUAGAGAUCCAUAGCAGGUAAAGAUGCACAAUCGUUGUAGCUCAGUC